Molecule: non-coding RNA, 46 nt
Organism: Trachymyrmex cornetzi
Lineage: Eukaryota; Metazoa; Arthropoda; Insecta; Hymenoptera; Formicidae
Source: Rfam
AAAAUGGUCCUUUUCAGGACCAAUUAAUUUAAAGAGAAUUUAAUAA